Molecule: unclassified non-coding RNA, 342 nt
Filed under: uncultured Actinomycetes bacterium
Lineage: Bacteria; Bacillati; Actinomycetota; Actinomycetes
Description: uncultured actinobacterium contains 16S-23S intergenic spacer region
Source: RNAcentral
UCCGGUUUGGCACCGGCAGUCUCCCUAGAGUUCCCGGCAUCACCCGCUGGCAACUAAGGACAGGGGUUGCGCUCGUUGCGCCACUUAAGGCACCACCUGUAUAGGACCCUUACGGACCCCACAUCUCUGCAGCUUUCCGGUAUAUGUCAAACCCAGGUAAGGUUCUUCGCGUUGCAUCGAAUUAAUCCACAUGCUCCGCCGCUUGUGCGGGCCCCCGUCAAUUCCUUUGAGUUUUAGCCUUGCGGCCGUACUCCCCAGGCGGGGCGCUUAAUGCGUUAGCUACGGCACGGAUUCCGUGGAAGGAACCCACACCUAGCGCCCACCGUUUACGGCGUGGACUAC